RNAcentral lists this ribosomal RNA (430 nucleotides) under uncultured bacterium. RNAcentral describes it as "partial 16S ribosomal RNA". It matches the Rfam family "Bacterial small subunit ribosomal RNA", at positions 29 to 504 of the family's 1533-position model. The record is from RNAcentral.
AACGAACGCUGGCGGCAUGCCUAACACAUGCAAGUCGAACGAGACCUUCGGGUCUAGUGGCGCACGGGUGCGUAACGCGUGGGAACCUGCCCUUAGGUUCGGAAUAACUCCCCGAAAGGGGUGCUAAUACCGGAUAAUGUCUUCGGACCAAAGAUUUAUCGCCUUUGGAUGGGCCCGCGUUGGAUUAGCUAGUUGGUAGGGUAAAAGCCUACCAAGGCGACGAUCCAUAGCUGGUCUGAGAGGAUGAUCAGCCACACUGGGACUGAGACACGGCCCAGACUCCUACGAGAGGCAGCAGUGGGGAAUAUUGGACAAUGGGCGAAAGCCUGAUCCAGCAAUGCCGCGUGAGUGAUGAAGGCCUUAGGGUUGUAAAGCUCUUUGACCCGGGAUGAUAAUGACAGUACCGGGAGAAUAAGCUCCGGCUAACUCC